CUCGUAGGUGGCCAACUAAGUCAGACGUGAAAUCCCUCGGCUUAACCGGGGAACUGCGUCUGAUACUGGAUGGCUUGAGUUUGGGAGAGGGACGCGGAAUUCCAGGUGUAGCGGUGAAAUGCGUAGAUAUCUGGAGGAACACCGGUGGCGAAGGCGGCGUCCUGGACCAACACUGACACUGAUGAGCGAAAGCCAGGGGAGCAAAACG
Molecule: ribosomal RNA, 208 nt
Filed under: uncultured bacterium
Lineage: Bacteria
Description: partial 16S ribosomal RNA
Rfam family: Bacterial small subunit ribosomal RNA
Source: RNAcentral